This 497-nucleotide ribosomal RNA is filed under the name uncultured bacterium. RNAcentral describes it as "partial 16S ribosomal RNA". It matches the Rfam family "Bacterial small subunit ribosomal RNA", at positions 28 to 507 of the family's 1533-position model. The record is from RNAcentral.
GAUGAACGCUGGCGGCGUGCCUAAUACAUGCAAGUCGAGCGAACGGACGAGAAGCUUGCUUUUCUGAUGUUAGCGGCGGACGGGUGAGUAACACGUGGAUAACCUACCUAUAAGACUGGGAUAACUUCGGGAAACCGGAGCUAAUACCGGAUAAUAUUUUGAACCGCAUGGUUCAAAAGUGAAAGACGGUCUUGCUGUCACUUAUAGAUGGAUCCGCGCUGCAUUAGCUAGUUGGUAAGGUAACGGCUUACCAAGGCAACGAUGCAUAGCCGACCUGAGAGGGUCAUCCGCCACACUGGAACUGAGACACGGUCCAGACUCCUACGGGAGGCAGCAGUAGGGAAUCUUCCGCGAUGGGCGAAAGCCUGACGGAGCAACGCCGCGUGAAUGAUGAAGGUCUUCGGAUCGUAAAACUCUGUUAUUAGGGAAGAACAUAUGUGUAAGUAACUGUGCACAUCUUGACGGUACCUAAUCAGAAAGCCACGGCUAACUACGUG